AUUGCUUCUCGGCCUCUUGGCUAAGAUCAAGUGUAGCAUCAGAUCAUAGAUGUAAAUGGAACACAGACUUAAAUAUAAGAUGCAAAACUAUAAAAAUGUCUAAAAGAAAAUCUUUGUAACCUUGGUUAGGCAAACAUUUCUUAUUUAAAACAUAAAAACUAU
This is a small nuclear RNA of Heterocephalus glaber (naked mole-rat), 162 nucleotides long. Its record names the gene U2. It matches the Rfam family "U2 spliceosomal RNA". From Rfam's summary of the family: U2 is a small nuclear RNA (snRNA) component of the spliceosome (involved in pre-mRNA splicing). Complementary binding between U2 snRNA (in an area lying towards the 5' end but 3' to hairpin I) and the branchpoint sequence (BPS) of the intron results the bulging out of an unpaired adenosine, on the BPS, which initiates a nucleophilic attack at the intronic 5' splice site, thus starting the first of two transesterification reactions that mediate splicing. The record is from Ensembl. Lineage: Eukaryota; Metazoa; Chordata; Mammalia; Rodentia; Bathyergidae.